This 352-nucleotide long non-coding RNA is filed under the name Ananas comosus (pineapple). RNAcentral's name for it is "long non-coding RNA (ACOM_LNC006893)". Lineage: Eukaryota; Viridiplantae; Streptophyta; Magnoliopsida; Poales; Bromeliaceae. The record is from RNAcentral.
AGGAAGCAUGCAGGAAGGGAAGAUAUAAAUCUUACAUUCUUUUAUCUAAGCCACCGUUUGGUUCGGGAUUAAGAAAAAAUAGCUAUUUCAGAGAUAGGGUUAAGUUCAGGGUUAAAAUGGUGUUAAAAUUUUUUUAUGUUUGGUUGGAGGUUGGAGUUAGUUUAGGAUAGUGAAAAAAAGUGUUUGGUUGGAAUAGGUGGGAUAAGAAAAUAAUGAUUGAUAAAGAAGAAAAAGGUGAGGGCUCGUAAUGCGUGUGGGGUUAAAGUUGGGAGGGGGAGUAGGAUUAGUAAACCCCACUAACCCGAUUUGGGGUGGAGUUUACUAACCCCACCCCUUAAGAGUGGUGUUUGGG